CUAUAUGGCAAACGAAGGCAUCCCACGCUUAGUUAUAGGACCAAUACGAAUUUCCAAGGUUCUUUCAACAGUGUGUGAGGUAACGGCUGAGAGUGCGGUCGGACUUUUUUCGCUCGUCGUAAAGUAAACGGAAAUUUGAGAGAACAAUAGAAUCUCCUGUAGCCAUGGAAGUAGACGGUUGUAGUGUAGCUAAGCAAAUGAACCGCUUGAUGAGACCCAUCAACGAGAAAUUAAUCUUCCUGGUUGCUGGCUGCAUGAAGCAUUUGGCCCAAGAAGUGUUUCAAAAAGUCCAGGAGACUAUACAAGAGGACCUCCUUUCGAUUAAAGCUACGAUUGUGAUUGUCAAGCCUCUGUCCAGGGGAGUAGAAGCUUCAAACGUUAAGCGUUUGGUGGAUCCCAGCCUCUUGGGUCCAUUUUUGGAUAAAGUACGCGACCGAGUCGAGCAUUACUCUGUAGAACAAGGGGCAGCUCUCUUAGAAAUCUUGAGGGAGGAAUUUUUGGUCAAGUUGGAGGCUGGCAUUUCUGCCGAACUACAAAGUGAGGGCGCAGGUGAUGGCAGUAAGACCGAGCUCCCUGACGAUCUGAGAGAAAGGGCAGCGCGAGCAUUAGAAGACCACCUGAAGGAGAACAUUCAGGAUCACCUGUUCUUUGCAGUCGAAGAGAGGAUCUUUGAACAUCUGGCUCAGGAAUUCAUCCGUAGUGGCCUUGGUACUAAUGUAGGUAGGAGUACCCCUUCCCCAGACGAGGUCGAACAGCUAGACAAGCCUACCAGGGAUGUUAGGGACAUCUUGAUACAGAUAAUGGACAAAGUUUUAUUGAGGUUGAAGCGUCGUCUGGUCCAGAUGAUUGCUGAUGACUUUCGUAAGUACUGGGUGAUCAAGGACUUCCGGCUACAUAAGAAGGGGAAUACCGAGAACUCCUUGACUAGAGAGUGGCAUGGGGACAUCGACGAGGUUCUGAGCGAGUGUAGAGUGUUAGUGGCCUCGAAUUUGGGCAUUUCGAUCAUGCAAACUGUGUGCGCAGCUCUUAAAGGCAAUACGAAUCGAUCAAGAGACAGAGAAAUUGAGGGGGGCCAAGUAGAAUUGGCUGCCAAGGUUAGGAAGUCCCUCUUGGAUGUGCUGUUGGAUGAAAUCGUGAGGGCUGUCGAGAAAAGCCUCUACAGAAACAUUUCGAGUCCCAGAGAUGACGGCACUGCUCUCAUGCAAGUGGAGGUGCUUGAGGUGAUCAAAGAAUGCUUUCCUCUGAAUUUUGACAAAGACCAGUGGGCACGUGAAGGAGAGGGUUGCCCUGAAGAGCUGUUUCAUCAGUACACCGAAGUUGUCCAAAACAUUCUUGCAUAAAUCUAUAGAAGAAGCCUUCCUGGGGAUAUCACGGAUAGAUUAGCUGUGAAAGAAGUCAUGGAAGCUGUGGUUCUCCUCAUCCCCGGCCAGUUGUGGAGGAGGGGAAGGCCCCCCAAACCUUCCCUAGCAAGUGUACCACCUGCCUAGUCGGCCCAGCUUUCCUUCAGAAUUUCCUUCCAUACAUUGUAUAAAUACAAGGUGAACUCUGGUAGCCCCAUCAGUCUCCAGUCACUGGUUAUAAGUAAGGUGGAUGAAUCUGGAGCGAAGUAAAUUGACUCGUCGGCAUCUCUUGCCUGCUUAGGCCACGCCCCCUUUACACCAGUGCUGUGCAUUGACCAGGCUUGUAAUUGCAAUUUAAUUGAAAUAUAAUUAUUUACACAUUUUUAAGGUAAAUGUAAUCGUACUUCUUUAUUUUUAUUUAAUAUUAAUUUUAGUUGCAAUUAUAAUUUGAUAAUAGGAUGGGUAAUUAUAAUUGUAACUGCAGUUGAUAAAGCAUAAUGUAAUUACUCCAAGCCUGAUUGAUGGACAAUAUUCUGCUAAACGGAUGAAGACGUCAUACUACAGAAAUGACGUCAGCUGCGGAAAUGUUUCUUGGCGGGCAAUGAAAAUGUACAAAUUUCCUUGUUUUUCUGAUUUAUGUGGAACAAGACACCAUAGCUUAUCUAUGUUCAAAUGUCAACAUACUUAAAAAGACAGUCUUCCUGCUUUUACCACCGAAAGAAGACGAGCACGGUAUAAAUGGGGAGGAGGUUAGUGACAUCACUGAUAGCUAGCCAAUCAGGACAAAGAAAGUAGUUUUCAAGUACGUCUUGGUUGUUAUUGUUUUUUUUAUUAUUAUUAUUUUUUACCCAUUGUAGGUAUCAGUAUCAGGAAUAUAACAAAAAAUCCACACUUUCCUUUAGGAUUGCGAAGCUAUUUUUAUUAUAGCCAAACUUAAAAAAUAGAGGUAAAAAUAAUAUUUUAAUUUGUUACCAUAGCGUUCAAUGGGAAUGACGCCACCUCUUUCUCUAGAUACCUUGUCUCCAGUGAGCUGUCACUGGAGUAACAACUACAUGUUGCUGUCUUGGGCAGCCAGUUCUCUCUGUAUAUGGACUUAUGAUGUACUAUAUCUGACCUUUG
RNA transcript from Macrobrachium nipponense, 2459 nucleotides. RefSeq lists it as uncharacterized. The record is from RefSeq and is a predicted model, not a curated record. NCBI's taxonomy places the organism in Eukaryota, Metazoa, Arthropoda, Malacostraca, Decapoda, Palaemonidae. The transcript has 3 exons.